Molecule: long non-coding RNA, 2505 nt
Organism: Daphnia magna
Lineage: Eukaryota; Metazoa; Arthropoda; Branchiopoda; Diplostraca; Daphniidae
Exons: 8
Source: RefSeq, a predicted model, not a curated record
UUUCAAUCGCAAAGGUGGGAGGUUGGCAUCAUGUCGUUGGACAUCAUUUUUGAAAAUUGUCUGACAUGUGGAUCCUCUGUGGAAAUUUCACUGUUAGAAUCUCACUCUGCGACAUGUGUUAAAAAGAUAGAACGUACUGCUUUAAGUAAUGCUGGGAGACCAAAGAUUGAUGUCAACAUACAAUUACUGGAAUAAUACCUAGACCAGAGAAUCCCCGUUACAAAAAUAGCUGAACUGCUUAACAUCAGCAAAAGGACCUUGUUCAGAGUUCUUAACGAGACAAACCAUACAGCGCUAGACCUAAGUACACAAAGAUCUCUGAUGCACAACUCGAUGCAUGUCUCACAAGUAUGUUGCGAUCCAACCCAAAGUUUGGUCUGCAGAUGUUUAAAGGUUGCACCAUUUCUAAAAAUAUUCUUCUUAAGCAAAAACAACUGGGUGAAAGUUGUAGAAGAGUCAGGCAACAGGAAAAUGCACCCAUGAUCCAACGCAUCAAGCGUAGAGAAUAUAAAGUGAGAGCUCCACUGUCCUUGUGGCACAUUGAUGGCCACCACAAAAUGGACCGGUAUUCUAUAUAUGCUUACAUUUGGAUAAUGGGUAACGGUUUCCUAUAAAUUCAAGUUUGGAUUUAUUAUUCAUGGAGCCAUAGAUGGUUAUACGCGUUUGAUCGCCUAUAUAUCAUUGGAAAAUACAAAUUUUUCUGAAACCGUGGUCAGUUUAUUUCAAACAGCAGUCACCGAGUGGGGAUAUCCAAGCCAGUGUAAAGUCCGACGAGGGCCGUGAAAAUGUAUUAGUGGCAGAUUUCAUGAUAAAUGCCAGAGGGGUUUACCGAAAGAGUUUUCGAACGGGAUUUUCAGUCCACAAUCAACGCGUGGAACGCCUCUGGAGGGAUACCAUCGAGAGAUGUACUUCUACUUUUAUGGAGAUGUUUAAGCAGAUGGAGAGAGAUGAUAUUCUGGAUGUAGGGUCGAAUGUAGACUUUUUCUGCCUCCACGUAGUUGGCUAAGAUUUAAUUCAACGUUCGCUACAAACUUUUCGGGAAGCAUGGAACUGUCAUCCUAUUCGAACCGAAAAGGACAUGUCUCCUAUGGAACGUAUUUUAACUAUAUUAAACCUAUUUAACGUAUAUUAAAGGAUUGCAGAUGUAGAUGGAAGAAAACGAAAAUGGAACUUUCGACGAGAAACCAACGGAACUCAUUCAGAGGCAAGUCGCGUGGACGUUGUCUUGAUCCUUCCAUCAAGACCUUGGCUCGACAAACCAAGUGGCUCUCCAGCAAGCCGGGAUUCGGGACCCACCCUAUCGUCCGUCUUGUUUCUACAAGCAUGACACACACACAUGAUAACGGUAACGUCUUAUUCAAAUCCAUUUUCUUUUUUCCUGUUACGCCACCAUCGUCUAGAAUGUUAGUUUAUGUGCUACAUUUAAGUCGAGCUCCUAUGCCAACACAACUUGAAUUCGAUUAUGCAUCGGCAAUUGAAAUUGGCUUUUGUCUUCGAGUGACGGACGUCCUUAUUGUCAAAUCCUUGGCCCGUGUCGCAAGGGUGGAAGGUUGGAAUCAUGUCGUUGGACAUAAUUUUUGAAAAUUGUCUGACAUGUGGAUCCUCUAUGGAAAUUUCACUGUUAGAAUCUCACUCUGCGACAUGGUAAAAACUGCUUUUAGUUUGUUGGGAUCGUGAAUUAAAAUAAAACGUUCAAAAACGUACGGUUUGUUCCGCGUACCUUUCAAAGCGUACUCUGGCGGAGACAGACAAAUAAUUUUCGGAACCAAACACAAGUGGCGCUAGUGGCCCUGGGAGAGUUUUAAAAUUCAUAUCUAAUAGCUCCAUGACAGAGCUUCUGUGAUUCGCCGCCAGGUGGCAGCAUAGAUUUGACGGGUAGUUUUCAAAAUAGCGGGGCGAUGUAGCGUUCUCGAUAGCGCCAUAGCUUAGCGGGGGUGACGAAUAGCAUCUGAGGUUGAGGUGGGGGGUGACGACUAGCAUCCGAGGUUGAAGUGGGGGUGACGAUGAAUAGCAUCCGAGGUUGAGGUUUUGCUUGUAUGGUGCAGGGGAGACUUUUGGCACGAAAAACUUGCCAUACAGGAGGGGCUGACUACCUAAAACUGUGUUGACCACGUGUGAUUAAGUACCCGCGAUUCCACUGGGUUUGUCAUCGGCUCGUAAUUUUUGGCUCGUCAGUUGAGCAAGCGAUUCAGGAUUUCAGGUAUCAUUGUCACCCAACCUUCUCGGACGCGGACAAUGUAUAGAAUUUAAAAACUUAGUUUCACCACACAAAACCUGCAUAUUAUCCACGGAAAAAAUUUUCAGAGUAGUUUCACGCGAUUACCUCGGGUCAGCAGUUAACGAUAGUCUUCUCUGGCAACUCUUCCUACACUGCACUUCCUGGACCUAAAUGUCAACCUAAAACAGAAAUAGAGUUGGCUAACGUCCGAAGUUGCCAGUUCGAUUAAUUGUGAAAAAAAAAUUGGACAAAAACUAGUAACAGUUUUUGCAUGGCGGCUUACGGAG